AUACUUAUUUGGCAGGGGAAAUACCAUGAUCAUGAAGAUGGUUUUCCCAGGAUGAGACUUAUUCAUUGUACUCUAGAUGUGCUCAUCCCUGUGAUUUCCCCAAAUGUGGGAAACUACAUAAUUUGUGGUAGUGGAAAAAUGUGUUCACUGUCUCCCC
Molecule: small nuclear RNA, 157 nt
Organism: Sorex araneus (European shrew)
Lineage: Eukaryota; Metazoa; Chordata; Mammalia; Eulipotyphla; Soricidae
Gene: U1
Rfam family: U1 spliceosomal RNA
About the family: U1 is a small nuclear RNA (snRNA) component of the spliceosome (involved in pre-mRNA splicing). Its 5' end forms complementary base pairs with the 5' splice junction, thus defining the 5' donor site of an intron.
Source: Ensembl